GAUCAUGGCUCAGGAUGAACGCUGGCGGCGUGCCUAACACAUGCAAGUCGAGCGGAGAUAAGUUGAAGCCUAGCGAUCUAUCUAGCGGCGGAUGGGUGAGUAACACGUGGGUAACCUGCCCUGUACUGGGGAAUAACAGUUGGAAACGACUGUUAAUGCCGCACAUGCGCACGAAGCCGCAUGGCUUAGGGCGGAAAGAUUUAUCGGUACAGGAUGGGCCCGCGUCGGAUUAACUAGUUGGCGGGGUAACGGCCCACCAAGGUGAUGAUCCGUAGCCGACCUGAGAGGGUGACCGGCCACAUUGGGACUGAGACACGGCCCAAACUCCUACGGGAGGCAGCAGUGGGGGAUAUUGCACAAUGGGGGAAACCCUGAAUGCAGCGACGCCGCGUGAAGGAAGAAGUAUUUCGGUAUGUAAACUUCUAUCAGCGGGGAAGAAGAUGACGGUACCCGACUAAGAAGCCCCGGCUAACUACGUGCCAGCAGCAGC
Molecule: ribosomal RNA, 490 nt
Filed under: uncultured bacterium
Lineage: Bacteria
Description: bacterial SSU rRNA
Rfam family: Bacterial small subunit ribosomal RNA
Source: RNAcentral